This 347-nucleotide unclassified non-coding RNA is filed under the name soil metagenome. RNAcentral's name for it is "partial contains 5.8S ribosomal RNA, internal transcribed spacer 2, and large subunit ribosomal RNA". The stretch from base 1 to 120 matches the Rfam family "5.8S ribosomal RNA", at positions 35 to 154 of the family's 154-position model. The record is from RNAcentral.
GAUGAAGAACGUAGCGAAAUGCGAUAAGUAGUGUGAAUUGCAGAAUUCAGUGAAUCAUCGAAUCUUUGAACGCACAUUGCGCCCGCUAGUAUUCUGGCGGGCAUGCCUGUCCGAGCGUCAUUUCAACCCUCAAGCCCCUCCGGGGGCCUGGCGUUGGGGAUCGGCCCCGCUCCGGCGGCCGGCCCCGAAAUGUAGUGGCGGUCUCGCCGCUGCCUCCUCUGCGUAGUAGAAACACCUCGCAUUGGGACGCGGCGGGCCCACGCCGUUAACCAGAUGAAUUUUUUCAAGGUUGACCUCGGAUCAGGUAGGAAUACCCGCUGAACUUAAGCAUAUCAAUAAGCGGAGGA